This is a long non-coding RNA of Rhinichthys klamathensis goyatoka, 190 nucleotides long. RefSeq lists it as uncharacterized. The record is from RefSeq and is a predicted model, not a curated record. The transcript has 2 exons. NCBI's taxonomy places the organism in Eukaryota, Metazoa, Chordata, Actinopteri, Cypriniformes, Leuciscidae.
CAUUGCAGUACACGAGAUCCAAGGGGCGGAGUCGGAUCCAGAUUAAGGGGUGGGGUUGGGUAGGUUUAGGGGUGGGUUUAGGGAUCAGGGGGUGGAGCUGGGUAGGUUUAGGUAUAUGUAAGGUGGGAGGAGUUGGAUCUGGAUCCGACUCCUCCCCGUGGAUUUCAUGUUCUGCAGUGAGGACCAUCUC